RNAcentral lists this microRNA precursor (98 nucleotides) under Lepisosteus oculatus (spotted gar). RNAcentral describes it as "miRNA (ENSLOCG00000020106.1)". Lineage: Eukaryota; Metazoa; Chordata; Actinopteri; Semionotiformes; Lepisosteidae. The record is from RNAcentral.
UUCAACGACAGGUUGUGACGGACGGAGUUCUUCCAGCCCUGGUAGGAUCCUCGGAAGAAGGGGAACCGCGCCUGGAGGAACUGGUAGAUCUCGCUGAG